CACAGUACGGAACUGAGUCAACGCAUUUUUCAGAUUCAAGAAGGGUAGGGCGCAGGGCGGCUGGCCCCCGCAAGAAGAGAUACAAGUUAGCUACUUCCCUAGCUGAACCGAUCAGCUAUCGCAAUCAAUUGAUGUCUUCAGAUGAGAUUUAAGGAUUUACUGUGCAUUUAGUUGGUUUGACGCUAAUUCGCCGUUGGUCGUCCACACAUUACAACCCGACAAAAUGUCAGAUCCUUCGGUGGCCGACACUCGCCGGUUGAAUUCCAAGCCGCAGGACCUGACGGAUGCUUACGGCCCCCCCAGCAAUUUUCUGGAAAUAGACGUUUACGAUCCACAAAUCGUUGGAGUUGGACGGAACCGUUACACAACUUACGAAGUUCGCAUGCGGACAAACCUUCCCAUUUUCAAACUGAAGGAUUCCUGUGUGAGAAGAAGAUACAGUGACUUUGAGUGGUUAAAGAAUGAGCUGGAAAGAGACAGUAAGAUUGUAGUACCAUCUCUGCCGGGCAAAGCCCUGAAGAGACAGUUGCCAUUCCGCGGAGAUGAGGGCCUUUUUGAGGAGUCCUUCAUUGAGGAGCGGCGAUCAGGACUGGAGCAGUUCAUCAACAAGUCAAAUUGCAGGUCAUCCCUUGGCCCAGAAUGAGCGCUGUCUUCACAUGUUUCUGCAAGAGGAAAGCAUUGACCGUAACUACAUUCCUGGAAAAGUAUGAAUGAAGCAAAGACAAUACAGACUGCUGCACCUGCCCCAUGUACAUUUAUUUCUACAUCACGUCAAUACAAAGCCGGUGGAAAUAUCAGAACUGAUAAGGAUCAACGGUGUAGGAAAAACACAAAUAUUGCUCCUGGACAAAACUUAAAGAGAUCCAAUCUAUAAAUUGUUUGAUGUCGUGUCUUUAUUCAGUCAUUCCACAUACUUUAUGUACAUUAUUUGGAUUCAGUAAUCAGUGGAAAAGAAAAAAUGUUCCAUAUGUAAUUUUGUCAUAGAUAGAUUUUGACUUUUUUUUUACAAUGAGUAUUAUGUUUUCUGAAUGUCUUUUUAAUUGAUUUGAUCAAGUUUAAAAUCAGGGUAAUUUCCCGCUUUGAUUAAGGUUUUGUUUUGCUAGCGGAGACGUGAUUCUGAUGAUAACCUCCCAAAGUCGAGCAACAUGUAGCAUCAUGAAAAAGACAGUGACAUGGUCAUUCCAGUCAAUAUAUUUCCCCUGAGUUUUAAGUUCUGGACAUGCUUUCUUGAUUAGUUGUUUUAACUCUGCUGUCUUAGUUACAUUAUCAUACCUACACAUUGGCUGUGUGUUGUCAAAUCAGAUAUUGGGAAUGUUCAGUUAGGUAAAUAACCAUAUCUAAGCACUGUGACAAGCGGUUCAUUUUAUGAACAAUAUUUCAUUGUUUAAAGGCGUAAUCAGCAUCUGGUUUAUGGAGCUGAAAUAAGGCUUAUUCUGCACUUAUUUUCAGCUGAUUAAUUCUUUCUGUCAAUAUUAUUGUGAAGUGUAUUAAUACAUGUUAUCAUUGCAGUUCCACUAGGGGUGACGAGGGAACUUCUUAAUUCUGUCCACCAAUUAAAUUUCCUGCUGCCUGCUGUG
This is an RNA transcript of Micropterus dolomieu (smallmouth bass), 1577 nucleotides long. It is a transcript of the gene named sorting nexin 12, with no coding region annotated. The transcript is spliced from 6 exons. The record is from RefSeq and is a predicted model, not a curated record. Lineage: Eukaryota; Metazoa; Chordata; Actinopteri; Centrarchiformes; Centrarchidae.